GGAACAUUGCGGCUGCUAUACAUGCGUCGAGCGGACAGAAGGGAGCUUGCUCCCGGAUGUUAGCGGCGGACGGGUGAGUAACACGUGGGUAACCUGCCUGUAAGACUGGGAUAACUCCGGGAAACCGGAGCUAAUACCGGAUAGUUCCUUGAACCGCAUGGUUCAAGGAUGAAAGACGGUUUCGGCUGUCACUUACAGAUGGACCCGCGGCGCAUUAGCUAGUUGGUGAGGUAACGGCUCACCAAGGCGACGAGCGUAGCCGACCUGAGAGGGUGAUCGGCCACACUGGGACUGAGACACGGCCCAGACUCCUACGGGAGGCAGCAGUAGGGAAUCUUCCGCAAUGGACGAAAGUCUGACGGAGCAACGCCGCGUGAGUGAUGAAGGUUUUCGGAUCGUAAAGCUCUGUUGUUAGGGAAGAACAAGUGCAAGAGUAACUGCUUGCACCUUGACGGUACCUAACCAGAAAGCCACGGCUAACUACGUGCCAGCAGCCGCGGUAAUACGUAGGUGGCAAGCGUUGUCCGGAAUUAUUGGGCGUAAAGGGCUCGCAGGCGGUUUCUUAAGUCUGAUGUGAAAGCCCCCGGCUCAACCGGGGAGGGUCAUUGGAAACUGGGAAACUUGAGUGCAGAAGAGGAGAGUGGAAUUCCACGUGUAGCGGUGAAAUGCGUAGAGAUGUGGAGGAACACCAGUGGCGAAGGCGACUCUCUGGUCUGUAACUGACGCUGAGGAGCGAAAGCGUGGGGAGCGAACAGGAUUAGAUACCCUGGUAGUCCACGCCGUAAACGAUGAGUGCUAAGUGUUAGGGGGUUUCCGCCCCUUAGUGCUGCAGCUAACGCAUUAAGCACUCCGCCUGGGGAGUACGGUCGCAAGACUGAAACUCAAAGGAAUUGACGGGGGCCCGCACAAGCGGUGGAGCAUGUGGUUAAUUCGAA
This 935-nucleotide ribosomal RNA is filed under the name Bacillus pumilus. RNAcentral's name for it is "bacterial SSU rRNA". It matches the Rfam family "Bacterial small subunit ribosomal RNA", at positions 30 to 955 of the family's 1533-position model. Lineage: Bacteria; Bacillati; Bacillota; Bacilli; Caryophanales; Bacillaceae. The record is from RNAcentral.